CCUACGGGAGGCAGCAGUGGGGAAUCUUAGACAAUGGGCGAAAGCCUGAUCUAGCCAUGCCGCGUGAGUGAUGAAGGUCUUAGGAUCGUAAAGCUCUUUCGCUAGGGAUGAUAAUGACAGUACCUAGUAAAGAAGCCCCGGCUAACUCCGUGCCAGCAGCCGCGGUAAUACGGAGGGGGCUAGCGUUGUUCGGAAUUACUGGGCGUAAAGCGUACGUAGGCGGAUCAGAAAGUAUGGGGUGAAAUCCCAGGGCUUAACCCUGGAACUGCCUCAUAAACUCCUGGUCUUGAGUUCGAGAGAGGUGAGUGGNAUUGCGAGUGUAGAGGUGAAAUUCGUAGAUAUUCGCAGGNACACCAGUGGCGAAGGCGGCUCACUGGCUCGAUACUGACGCUGAGGUACGAAAGUGUGGGGAGCANACAGGAUUAGAUACCCUGGUAGUCCACACCGUANACGAUGAAUGCCAGUCNUCGGACAGUAUACUGUUCGGUGACACACGCUCNNGACUCAGCGGUAC
RNAcentral lists this ribosomal RNA (514 nucleotides) under uncultured Alphaproteobacteria bacterium. RNAcentral's name for it is "bacterial SSU rRNA". It matches the Rfam family "Bacterial small subunit ribosomal RNA", at positions 338 to 870 of the family's 1533-position model. The record is from RNAcentral. Lineage: Bacteria; Pseudomonadati; Pseudomonadota; Alphaproteobacteria.